Molecule: transfer RNA, 85 nt
Filed under: Myxococcaceae bacterium
Lineage: Bacteria; Pseudomonadati; Myxococcota; Myxococcia; Myxococcales; Myxococcaceae
Description: tRNA-Leu
Rfam family: tRNA
About the family: Transfer RNA (tRNA) molecules are approximately 80 nucleotides in length. Their secondary structure includes four short double-helical elements and three loops (D, anti-codon, and T loops).
Source: RNAcentral
GGCCCUCUGGCGGAAUUGGUAGACGCAGCGGACUCAAAAUCCGCCGCCCCCAAAAGGCGUCCCGGUUCGAGUCCGGGGAGGGCCA